UUGUCGGUUGCGGCUCAUCGUAUGGCAGUUUGCUGUGUAGUAAUGCCAGCUGCCUAGCGAAGGGCAACAAAUGACUG
This 77-nucleotide microRNA precursor is filed under the name Manduca sexta (tobacco hornworm). Its description in RNAcentral is "mir-745 microRNA precursor family". It matches the Rfam family "mir-745 microRNA precursor family". Lineage: Eukaryota; Metazoa; Arthropoda; Insecta; Lepidoptera; Sphingidae. The record is from Rfam by way of RNAcentral.